GACGAACGCUGGCGGCGUGCUUAACACAUGCAAGUCGAACGGAAAGGCCCUGCUUUUGUGGGGUGCUCGAGUGGCGAACGGGUGAGUAACACGUGAGUAACCUGCCCUUGACUUUGGGAUAACUUCAGGAAACUGGGGCUAAUACCGGAUAGGAGCUCCUGCUGCAUGGUGGGGGUUGGAAAGUUUCGGCGGUUGGGGAUGGACUCGCGGCUUAUCAGCUUGUUGGUGGGGUAGUGGCUUACCCAGGCUUUGACGGGUAGCCGGCCUGAGAGGGUGACCGGCCACAUUGGGACUGAGAUACGGCCCAGACUCCUACGGGAGGCAGCAGUGGGGAAUAUUGCACAAUGGGCGGAAGCCUGAUGCAGCAACGCCGCGUGCGGGAUGACGGCCUUCGGGUUGUAAACCGCUGUCGCCUGUGACGAAGCGUGAGUGACGGUAAUGGGUAAAGAAGCACCGGCUAACUACGUG
This 468-nucleotide ribosomal RNA is filed under the name uncultured bacterium. RNAcentral describes it as "partial 16S ribosomal RNA". It matches the Rfam family "Bacterial small subunit ribosomal RNA", at positions 28 to 507 of the family's 1533-position model. The record is from RNAcentral.